UAAAACCCUACCCCAUUUCCAUCCUUUCUCCGCCGUUUCUAAGUUGUCUCCUUCAUGGUUGACCAAGUAAUCUUUGUGAUUUUUGACGUGGUAUCAUUCCAUCUAGCUCCUUGAAUGCCUUUGAAGUUCUACCGCCCUCCUUGCUUACAUAUCGAGGUGUAGUCCCAAGGGAUCAUAGGUGGGCUUCGUUUUUGCUCAUAUUUGACUCCGAUUGUGCGCUUGAUGUUCCGUUUAUUCCUGGUGUCAUUAACUCCCAACUCAAAUAAUUUGACCAACAAGCCCCCUUUAUAUUAAAGUUUCUUUUAUAGCUAGAAACUCUAUUUGUAGCUUUGUUUUGCUCAAUUUUACUUCCCUCUAAGAAGCA
Solanum lycopersicum (tomato) is the source of this 364-nucleotide non-coding RNA. NCBI's taxonomy places the organism in Eukaryota, Viridiplantae, Streptophyta, Magnoliopsida, Solanales, Solanaceae. The record is from RefSeq and is a predicted model, not a curated record.